This 396-nucleotide unclassified non-coding RNA is filed under the name fungal sp. RNAcentral's name for it is "partial internal transcribed spacer region". The stretch from base 1 to 46 matches the Rfam family "Eukaryotic small subunit ribosomal RNA", at positions 1786 to 1831 of the family's 1831-position model. Lineage: Eukaryota; Fungi. The record is from RNAcentral.
AAGUCGUAACAAGGUUUCCGUAGGUGAACCUGCGGAAGGAUCAUUAACACGUUUAAUCUUAAACGUUAUUAGUCAACCGUGAACCUUUACAUAAACCCUGUGGUUGGGAUAUUAAGUAGACAAAGCUGAGAAUGCUGUUAGAGCUAACCCUCUACCAAUCAGUUAGUCGUUUCUAGGUCCGCCCUGGAAGCUUAUACCAAUACACAGCUGAUCGCCACCACGGAUGGGCUGCAGCAUACCUCGCCCUGGUGGCACAAUAUUAACCCCUUUUUUUAUUAAUUACUAAUUUUUGUCUGUUUAUUGCGAAUUCCUUACUUCGGUUUGUUGAGUUUACUUUAAAUGACAUCAUAUACAUUUAAUACGAAACAACUCUUAGCAACGGAUAUCUUGGUUCUC